Saccostrea echinata is the source of this 669-nucleotide long non-coding RNA. RefSeq lists it as uncharacterized. The transcript is spliced from 4 exons. The record is from RefSeq and is a predicted model, not a curated record. NCBI's taxonomy places the organism in Eukaryota, Metazoa, Mollusca, Bivalvia, Ostreida, Ostreidae.
AGAAGGAAGUCCAGGAUACAGAGAGAGUAGAGAUGGAACAAGAUGAUGUGGACAUUGGGGUCAAGAGUACAAGAGAUACGGGUGAACAGUGUGAUCCAGACCAACUAUUUCAAGAGAACAUGGCCUUGAAAGCUGAGCUGAGGAGGUUGCAAGGUCACAAGUGGUCUGUUGACAAGAUAAAAGAUGAUGACACCAAAACGAAAUUCUCCACUGGACUACCUAGCUUUGCAGUUUUUAUCUGAUUAUUCAACUACCUGGUGCCCAAGUGCAAACAGAUGGUGUACUGUAGAGGUUCUUCUGCUAACCAUGGAGAGAGGACACGACCUAGAGGCACAUUGUCACUGGAGUCUGUAGAUCAGUUUCUUACCACAAUGAUGAGAUUUAAAGUUGGAUUGUAUGUUGAAGAUAUUGCUGAAGGCUUUGGAAUGUCAGUUGGGACCUACUCGCAGUACUUCACAACCUGGGUGUGCCUUCUGUUCCAGGAGCUGAGAGCAUUGAACCCCUUUCCAUCUCGGGACAUCAUUCAAAGGAACAUGCCUUCUUGGUUUCAUUCUUUUCCAAAUUUAAGAGUUAUUUUAGAUUGUACAAAAAUAUUUGUUCAGAAAUCAAGCAUUUUUGUUAAUUAAAACUUGUCUUUUUCACAUUAUAAGCAUCACACAACUGUUAAAU